This 327-nucleotide ribosomal RNA is filed under the name uncultured eukaryote. RNAcentral describes it as "partial 18S ribosomal RNA". It matches the Rfam family "Eukaryotic small subunit ribosomal RNA", at positions 1470 to 1796 of the family's 1831-position model. The record is from RNAcentral.
CCCCUAGAUGUUCUGGGCCGCACGCGCGCUACACUGAACAGUUCAACAAGUCUUAACCUUGGCCGAUAGGUCUGGGUAAUCUUUGAACGCUGUUCGUGAUUGGGAUAGACCUUUGCAAUUAUGGGUCUUCAACGAGGAAUUCCUAGUAAACGCAAGUCAUCAGCUUGCGUUGAUUACGUCCCUGCCCUUUGUACACACCGCCCGUCGCUCCUACCGAUUGAAUGGUCCGGUGAAGCGUUCGGACCGUGGCCUUUGGACGGUUCGCCGUCUGUUGGCUGCGGGAAGUUCGUUAAACCUUAUCAUUUAGAGGAAGGAGAANUCGUAACA